CUUUCAACUAUUUAUAUUUAUUUACAACAGACUACAUGUGUGUCGAGUAUUAUAAUUGGAUAACAACACAGAGAUGUCAGUAUAUUUGCUGGGAACUUUCGGAAUAUAUACGAAGUUUGUUUCCAUAGUUUGAACCUUAGAAACAUUUUGACAACACCUGAUACUAUGUGUCGUAGUCAAAAUGUACACAGAACACGAAGGAAUGACAGAGGUUAUCAGAGGAAAAAUAAUUAUGUGAAUCCGUCUAACUAAAAAACGCAAUUUAAAUACUAAAAUCCAAUGUUGUGAUGUCUUAUUAUGAAUUUAUAUAUAUACGAUGAAAUUUGUUCACAACAAUUUACAAAAACCAUCACGUAACCUAUAUGCUUAAUAGAAGGUUGUGUUUUUAAAUAUAUGUGUCCUGUAAAAAACCAAGUUAAUCACACACCGAACACAAAACAUUAAUAUGAAAAAAAGUAAUAGAAAACAGACACUAUUGUCAAAAUAAAAAAAGUUGCAUUUUAAUAAUAAGUUAAUCAAAAUAUUAAGAAAUCUGAACAUGAAGUGAUUAUACAUGCUGCAUUGUGAAUUGUUAACACAUGUAUCCACUGGGAAAAGCACAUUAAAAAGGGAUAAUUCGUUAUAUAUGUGUAACUCAUGUCUGAGACUGGGUAUUUAACGUGACAAUUUCUUCUUAGGGCUUAUACACUCUACGGCGGAAGUGUCACAGUGUAUUCCAUGUCUGAGGCCUGAAUAAUAUAAUUAUACAAUCUUUAUUUUUGUAUUUUAUCAUGUCAAAACAUCUGUAACAAAUUAGAGAUUGAGACUACGGG
This 812-nucleotide long non-coding RNA is filed under the name Mytilus galloprovincialis (Mediterranean mussel). Lineage: Eukaryota; Metazoa; Mollusca; Bivalvia; Mytilida; Mytilidae. The record is from RNAcentral.